This 571-nucleotide ribosomal RNA is filed under the name uncultured Bifidobacterium sp. Its description in RNAcentral is "bacterial SSU rRNA". It matches the Rfam family "Bacterial small subunit ribosomal RNA", at positions 136 to 722 of the family's 1533-position model. The record is from RNAcentral. Lineage: Bacteria; Bacillati; Actinomycetota; Actinomycetes; Bifidobacteriales; Bifidobacteriaceae.
CACUAGUGAUUCUCCUGGAAACGGGUGGUAAUGCCGGAUGCUCCAGUUGGAUGCAUGUCCUUCUGGGAAAGAUUAUAUCGGUAUGGGAUGGGGUCGCGUCCUAUCAGGUAGUCGGCGGGGUAACGGCCCACCGAGCCUACGACGGGUAGCCGGCCUGAGAGGGCGACCGGCCACAUUGGGACUGAGAUACGGCCCAGACUCCUACGGGAGGCAGCAGUGGGGAAUAUUGCACAAUGGGCGCAAGCCUGAUGCAGCGACGCCGCGUGCGGGAUGACGGCCUUCGGGUUGUAAACCGCUUUUGAUCGGGAGCAAGCCUUCGGGUGAGUGUACCUUUCGAAUAAGCACCGGCUAACUACGUGCCAGCAGCCGCGGUAAUACGUAGGGUGCAAGCGUUAUCCGGAAUUAUUGGGCGUAAAGGGCUCGUAGGCGGUUCGUCGCGUCCGGUGUGAAAGUCCAUCGCUUAACGGUGGAUCCGCGCCGGGUACGGGCGGGCUUGAGUGCGGUAGGGGAGACUGGAAUUCCCGGUGUAACGGUGGAAUGUGUAGAUAUCGGGAAGAACACCAUCGAAUUC